This 253-nucleotide ribosomal RNA is filed under the name uncultured bacterium. RNAcentral's name for it is "partial 16S ribosomal RNA". It matches the Rfam family "Bacterial small subunit ribosomal RNA", at positions 524 to 776 of the family's 1533-position model. The record is from RNAcentral.
GACAGAGGGUGCAAACGUUGUUCGGAAUUACUGGGCGUAAAGCGCGUGUAGGCGGCUAAGUAAGUCGGGCGUGAAAUGCCGGGGCUCAACCCCGGGACUGCGUCCGAUACUUCCGAGCUGGAGGUAGGUAGGGGAGAUCGGAAUUCCUGGUGUAGCGGUGAAAUGCGCAGAUAUCAGGAGGAACACCGGUGGCGAAGGCGGAUCUCUGGGCCUUACCUGACGCUGAGGCGCGAAAGCUAGGGGAGCGAACAGG